GAUGAACGCUAGCUACAGGCUUAACACAUGCAAGUCGAGGGGAAACGACAUCGAAAGCUUGCUUUUGAUGGGCGUCGACCGGCGCACGGGUGCGUAACGCGUAUCCAACCUGCCCACCACUUGGGGAUAACCUUGCGAAAGUAAGACUAAUACCCAAUGAUCUCUCUAGCAGACAUCUGAAAGAGAUUAAAGCUUUAUCGGUGAUGGAUGGGGAUGCGUCUGAUUAGCUUGUUGGCAGGGUAACGGCCCACCAAGACAACGAUGAGUAGGGGUUCUGAGAGGAAGGUCCCCCACAUUGGAACUGAGACACGGGUCAAACUCCUACGGGAGGCAGCAGUUAGAAAUGUUGGUCAAUGGACGAGAGUCUGAACCAGCCAAGUAGCGUGCAGGAUGACGGCCCUAUGGGUUGUAAACUGCUUUUAUAAGGGAAUAAAGUGAGUCUCGUGAGGCUCUUUGCAUGUACCUUAUGAAUAAGGACCGGCUAAUUCCGUGCCAGCAGCCGCCGUAA
This 508-nucleotide ribosomal RNA is filed under the name uncultured bacterium. Its description in RNAcentral is "partial 16S ribosomal RNA". It matches the Rfam family "Bacterial small subunit ribosomal RNA", at positions 28 to 523 of the family's 1533-position model. The record is from RNAcentral.